CCCUUGAAAUACCACCCUUUAAUGGCUGGUGUUCUAACGUAGACCCGUGAUCCGGGUUGCGGACAGUGUCUGGUGGGUAGUUUGACUGGGGCGGUCUCCUCCCAAAGAGUAACGGAGGAGCACGAAGGUUGGCUAAUCCUGGUCGGACAUCAGGAGGUUAGUGCAAUGGCAUAAGCCAGCUUGACUGCGAGCGUGACGGCGCGAGCAGGUGCGAAAGCAGGUCAUAGUGAUCCGGUGGUUCUGAAUGGAAGGGCCAUCGCUCAACGGAUAAAAGGUACUCCGGGGAUAACAGGCUGAUACCGCCCAAGAGUUCAUAUCGACGGCGGUGUUUGGCACCUCGAUGUCGGCUCAUCACAUCCUGGGGCUGAAGUAGGUCCCAAGGGUAUGGCUGUUCGCCAUUUAAAGUGGUACGCGAGCUGGGUUUAGAACGUCGUGAGACAGUUCGGUCCCUAUCUGCCGUGGGCGCUGGAGAAUUGAGGGGGGCUGCUCCUAGUACGAGAGGACCGGAGUGGACGCAUCACUGGUGUUCGGGUUGUCAUGCCAAUGGCACUGCCCGGUAGCUAAAUGCGGAAGAGAUAAGUGCUGAAAGCAUCUAAGCACGAAACUUGCCCCGAGAUGAGUUCUCCCUGAGACCUUGAGUCUCCUGAAGGAACGUUGAAGACGACGACGUUGAUAGGUCGGGUGUGUAAGCGCAGCGAUGCGUUGAGCUAACCGAUACUAAUGAACCGUGAGG
Molecule: ribosomal RNA, 733 nt
Filed under: Enterobacter hormaechei
Lineage: Bacteria; Pseudomonadati; Pseudomonadota; Gammaproteobacteria; Enterobacterales; Enterobacteriaceae
Description: partial 23S ribosomal RNA
Rfam family: Bacterial large subunit ribosomal RNA
Source: RNAcentral